Molecule: non-coding RNA, 223 nt
Filed under: Clostridium sp.
Lineage: Bacteria; Bacillati; Bacillota; Clostridia; Eubacteriales; Clostridiaceae
Description: T-box sequence
Rfam family: T-box leader
About the family: Uncharged tRNA acts as the effector for transcription antitermination of genes in the T-box leader family. T-boxes are found upstream of many aminoacyl-tRNA synthetase genes and some amino acid biosynthetic genes usually in Gram-positive bacteria.
Source: RNAcentral
UUAAAGGCAAAGAAAAAGAGGAGUAAGUUUUAACUAACUAUAAAGAGAACAGAAGUCACCGGCUGAAAGCUUCUGAUAGUAUAGAAAACUGAAGGUAGCUUUGGAGCUGAUAAAUUGAAAUAGCAGUAAAUUUAUCCGUAUAACUUGCGUUAAAAGUAACUAAGAUUAACAAUAAAAUUGUUAAAUUAAGGUGGUACCGUGAGAAUAAUACCUCGCCCUUAUU